RNAcentral lists this ribosomal RNA (473 nucleotides) under uncultured bacterium. RNAcentral describes it as "bacterial SSU rRNA". It matches the Rfam family "Bacterial small subunit ribosomal RNA", at positions 355 to 825 of the family's 1533-position model. The record is from RNAcentral.
UAGGGAAUUUUGGGCAAUGGGCGAAAGCCUGACCCAGCAACGCCGCGUGUGGGAUGAAGGCCCUCGGGUCGUAAACCACUGUCAGGAGGAAAGAAAAGUCGGCCGGAUAAUACUCGGUCGACCUGACGGUACCUCCAAAGGAAGCACCGGCUAACUCCGUGCCAGCAGCCGCGGUAAUACGGAGGGUGCAAGCGUUGUUCGGAAUUACUGGGCGUAAAGCGCGUGUAGGUGGUCGAGUAAGUCGAAUGUGAAAGCCCCGGGCUCAACCCGGGAAGUGCGUCCGAAACUGCUCGACUAGAGUCCCGGAGAGGAAGGCAGAAUUCCCAAUGUAGGGGUGAAAUCCGUAGAUAUUGGGAGGAAUACCGGUGGCGAAGGCGGCCUUCUGGACGGUGACUGACACUCAGACGCGAAAGCGUGGGGAGCAAACAGGAUUAGAUACCCUCGUAGUCCCUGAGCGGGCUGGCAAGGCGCAU